This 502-nucleotide ribosomal RNA is filed under the name uncultured bacterium. Its description in RNAcentral is "bacterial SSU rRNA". It matches the Rfam family "Bacterial small subunit ribosomal RNA", at positions 29 to 524 of the family's 1533-position model. The record is from RNAcentral.
AACGAACGCUGGCGGCAGGCUUAAUACAUGCAAGUCGAGGGGCAGCACGGUUAGCAAUAACUGGUGGCGACCGGCGCACGGGUGCGUAACACGUAUACAAUCUACCUUAAACAGGGGGAUAGCCUUUCGAAAGAGAGAUUAAUACCCCCGUAAUAAAUUGAACGGCAUCGUUUGAUUUUGAAAGCUCCGGCGGUUUGAGAUGAGUAUGCGUCUGAUUAGCUAGUUGGUGAGGUAACGGCUCACCAAGGCGACGAUCAGUAGGGGAUCUGAGAGGACUAACCCCCCACACUGGUACUGAGACACGGACCAGACUCCUACGGGAGGCAGCAGUAAGGAAUAUUGGUCAAUGGAGGCAACUCUGAACCAGCCAUGCCGCGUGCAGGAUGACGGCCCUAUGGGUUGUAAACUGCUUUUAUACAAGAGAAAACCCUGGUACGUGUACCAGGUUGAUAGUAUUGUAAGAAUAAGCAUCGGCUAACUUCGUGCCAGCAGCCGCGGUAAU